RNAcentral lists this unclassified non-coding RNA (281 nucleotides) under Hevea brasiliensis (rubber tree). The record is from RNAcentral. Lineage: Eukaryota; Viridiplantae; Streptophyta; Magnoliopsida; Malpighiales; Euphorbiaceae.
AUAAAGCAGCAAGGACUUGAUAUCACCCCCCGCAUUCUCAUAAUUACUCGACUUCUUCCUGAUGCAGUAGGAACCACUUGUGGUCAACGUCUGGAAAAAGUAUUUGGAACAGAGCAUUCAGAUAUUCUUCGAGUUCCUUUUAGAACUGAGAAGGGAAUUGUUCGUAAAUGGAUCUCACGAUUUGAAGUGUGGCCCUAUCUAGAGACUUACACUGAGGAUGUUGCCACUGAAAUCGGUAAGGAGUUGCAGGGCAAGCCUGAUCUGAUCAUUGGAAAUUACAG